This 226-nucleotide long non-coding RNA is filed under the name Bos taurus (domestic cattle). RNAcentral describes it as "long non-coding RNA NONBTAT009304". The record is from RNAcentral. Lineage: Eukaryota; Metazoa; Chordata; Mammalia; Artiodactyla; Bovidae.
UUUUUCUAUAAGUCAUUGACAGUGGAGCAUGAUCUGCAGCCAGGGUAAAUAGAGAGAUACCAUAUUUGGGAAGUUUUUAAAUCAAAAGUUUCAGACUUAAAUAACUUAAAGGAAAUAGGCCAAAUUUCAAGAAUUCCACUCCCAGGUUAGAGCUUUUAUCUUUCCUUUGCACCUGCUAUUGCCAACUCACAAGCCUUUUGUCAGUGAUGAAACCUCUCUCUCCUAA